Molecule: non-coding RNA, 431 nt
Organism: Pelobates cultripes (western spadefoot toad)
Lineage: Eukaryota; Metazoa; Chordata; Amphibia; Anura; Pelobatidae
Source: the annotation of a GenBank genome assembly
CUGUGGUUUACUAGAAAGCACCAGGAAAUGUGAAUAUUCUGAUAGUGUUUUAGAAUGAAAUGAUGGUAUCGAACAGGAAACAGGAAACUGAAUUCAGAGCGGGGCUGUGGAAUUGAUGUCUAAACAGAUCCUUUAUCUAUAGCAACAAUUCCCAUCUGUUUCAAGAUUCCAUCACAGAACACAAGUUUCUCGGUUCCAUUAACUUGGCUAAUGGAUCGCCAUCCCCAAAGGCGUUGAAGAAUAUCUUCCUCUUGUUAUUUCAAGUUUAUUCCUAAAAGUCAAAUGCACAUAAAACAAUAAGUUAAUGGUGACAGCUAAAUAAAGAAUUUCAUCCAUUUGAAAUGUUCAAAGAAACCUACUUCAUGGAUUCAACCCUCCAAAAAUACAUGCAAAGCUUUGAUUUGGGGAAACAAACUUCCACAAUAAACUUG